GAGAUGAUUGGAGGCUGUUGCGUUUGCUCAGACGAGAGAGGCUGGGCCGAGAACCCGCUGGUUUAUUGCGACGGGCACGGCUGCAGCGUCGCGGUGCAUCAAGCUUGCUAUGGCAUUGUUCAAGUACCCACUGGACCAUGGUUUUGCAGGAAAUGUGAAUCUCAGGAGAGAGCAGCCAGAGUGAGAUGUGAACUUUGUCCCCAUAAGGAUGGAGCUUUAAAAAGAACAGAUAAUGGGGGUUGGGCCCAUGUGGUUUGUGCCCUGUAUAUUCCAGAGGUACAAUUUGCCAAUGUUUCCACAAUGGAACCAAUUGUUUUACAGUCUGUUCCGCAUGAUCGUUAUAAUAAGGUACAGUGGAUAUUAUUUUAUUACUGUUUGAAUAUCACUACUGGGAAGUAGAAAGGAAGUUUUUGUGUUUUUAAAAUCACAGGUCUCCAUCAAAUUCAGGGAGGUUUGGAAAAAAAAUUACUACUCCAAACUGCAGUUAUUA
RNAcentral lists this small RNA (490 nucleotides) under Pan troglodytes (chimpanzee). RNAcentral's name for it is "processed transcript". The record is from RNAcentral. Lineage: Eukaryota; Metazoa; Chordata; Mammalia; Primates; Hominidae.